RNAcentral lists this ribosomal RNA (218 nucleotides) under uncultured bacterium. RNAcentral's name for it is "partial 16S ribosomal RNA". It matches the Rfam family "Bacterial small subunit ribosomal RNA", at positions 328 to 539 of the family's 1533-position model. The record is from RNAcentral.
ACGCUCGACACCUACGGGAGCAGCAGUGAGGAAUAUUGGUCAAUGGGCGCUAGCCUGAACCAGCCAAGUAGCGUGAAGGAUGAAGGCUCUAUGGGUCGUAAACUUCUUUUAUAUAAGAAUAAAGUGCAGUAUGUAUACUGUUUUGUAUGUAUUAUAUGAAUAAGGAUCGGCUAACUCCGUGCCAGCAGCCGCGGUAAUCUGGAGCGGGCUGGCAAGGC